This 484-nucleotide ribosomal RNA is filed under the name uncultured bacterium. RNAcentral's name for it is "partial 16S ribosomal RNA". It matches the Rfam family "Bacterial small subunit ribosomal RNA", at positions 28 to 523 of the family's 1533-position model. The record is from RNAcentral.
GACGAACGCUGGCGGCGUGCUUAACACAUGCAAGUCGAACGAUGAAGCCGGAGCUUGCUCUGGUGAAUUAGUGGCGAACGGGUGAGUAACACGUGAGUAACCUGCCCUUGACUCUGGGAUAGCUGCGGGAAACUGUAGCUAAUACCGGAUACGACCCUCGGAGGCAUCUCCUGGGGGUGGAAAGAAUUUCGGUCAAGGAUGGACUCGCGGCCUAUCAGCUAGUUGGUGAGGUAAAGGCUCACCAAGGCGACGACGGGUAGCCGGCCUGAGAGGGUGACCGGCCACACUGGGACUGAGACACGGCCCAGACUCCUACGGGAGGCAGCAGUGGGGAAUAUUGCACAAUGGGCGCAAGCCUGAUGCAGCGACGCCGCGUGAGGGAUGACGGCCUUCGGGUUGUAAACCUCUUUCAGCACCGACGAAGCGCAAGUGACGGUAGGUGCAGAAGAAGGACCGGCCAACUACGUGCCAGCCGCCGCCGUAA